AGUAAAGAAAUGUUUAAGAAGCGAAAAAGAGCAAUAACAAAAGGUGGAAGCGAAAGUCAAAACCCAGCGCAGAAAGCUUCUUGGUAUAAACAGAAGCAGCCGGGAGGAGGAGCGCUAGCCCGACCAGUCGGCCCGGGAAGCUCCAGUUCGUACUCCAGAGGAACUCCGUACUGAAUCCUAAUCAGUGAGAGUUCAUCCGGAGUCAGAGAGCUGGGGAUGGUGUUCGGUACAAAGAUCGGACGAGGUUCAUCUACAGAACUAAGAUUUUGAGGGGUUGGAACGGACGAACUCCUAGAACUGCU
This 302-nucleotide long non-coding RNA is filed under the name Elaeis guineensis (African oil palm). RNAcentral's name for it is "long non-coding RNA (EGUI_LNC075733)". Lineage: Eukaryota; Viridiplantae; Streptophyta; Magnoliopsida; Arecales; Arecaceae. The record is from RNAcentral.